RNAcentral lists this transfer RNA (76 nucleotides) under Candidatus Eiseniibacteriota bacterium. RNAcentral's name for it is "tRNA-His". It matches the Rfam family "tRNA". Rfam says of the family: Transfer RNA (tRNA) molecules are approximately 80 nucleotides in length. Their secondary structure includes four short double-helical elements and three loops (D, anti-codon, and T loops). Further hydrogen bonds mediate the characteristic L-shaped molecular structure. tRNAs have two regions of fundamental functional importance: the anti-codon, which is responsible for specific mRNA codon recognition, and the 3' end, to which the tRNAs corresponding amino acid is attached (by aminoacyl-tRNA synthetases). tRNAs cope with the degeneracy of the genetic code in two manners: having more than one tRNA (with a specific anti-codon) for a particular amino acid; and 'wobble' base-pairing, i.e. permitting non-standard base-pairing at the 3rd anti-codon position. Lineage: Bacteria; Candidatus Eiseniibacteriota. The record is from RNAcentral.
GUGGGCGUAGCUCAGUUGGUAGAGCCCUGGAUUGUGGUUCCAGUGGUCGCGGGUUCGAGCCCCGUCUUCCACCCCA